RNAcentral lists this transfer RNA (68 nucleotides) under Marmota monax (woodchuck). RNAcentral's name for it is "tRNA.Ala". The record is from RNAcentral. Lineage: Eukaryota; Metazoa; Chordata; Mammalia; Rodentia; Sciuridae.
GGGCAGUAGCUCAGUGGUAGAGUGCUCACCAGGCAUGCAUGAGGCACUGGGUUCGAUCCUCAGCCCUA